AUUGAACGCUGGCGGCAGGCCUAACACAUGCAAGUCGAGCGGAUGAAGGGAGCUUGCUCCUGGAUUCAGCGGCGGACGGGUGAGUAAUGCCUAGGAAUCUGCCUGGUAGUGGGGGAUAACGUCCGGAAACGGGCGCUAAUACCGCAUACGUCCUGAGGGAGAAAGUGGGGGAUCUUCGGACCUCACGCUACCAGAUGAGCCUAGGUCGGAUUAGCUAGUUGGUGGGGUAAAGGCCUACCAAGGCGACGAUCCGUAACUGGUCUGAGAGGGUGAUCAGUCACACUGGAACUGAGACACGGUCCAGACUCCUACGGGAGGCAGCAGUGGGGAAUAUUGGACAAUGGGCGAAAGCCUGAUCCAGCCAUGCCGCGUGUGUGAAGAAGGUCUUCGGAUUGUAAAGCACUUUAAGUUGGGAGGAAGGGCAGUAAGUUAAUACCUUGCUGUUUUGACGUUACCAACAGAAUAAGCACCGGCUAACUUCGUG
Molecule: ribosomal RNA, 484 nt
Filed under: uncultured bacterium
Lineage: Bacteria
Description: partial 16S ribosomal RNA
Rfam family: Bacterial small subunit ribosomal RNA
Source: RNAcentral